AUUGAACGCUGGCGGCAUGCCUUACACAUGCAAGUCGAACGGCAGCACGGGUGCUUGCACCUGGUGGCGAGUGGCGAACGGGUGAGUAAUACAUCGGAACAUGUCCUGUAGUGGGGGAUAGCCCGGCGAAAGCCGGAUUAAUACCGCAUACGAUCUACGGAUGAAAGCGGGGGACCUUCGGGCCUCGCGCUAUAGGGUUGGCCGAUGGCUGAUUAGCUAGUUGGUGGGGUAAAGGCCUACCAAGGCGACGAUCAGCAGCUGGUCUGAGAGGACGACCAGCCACACUGGGACUGAGACACGGCCCAGACUCCUACGGGAGGCAGCAGUGGGGAAUUUUGGACAAUGGGCGAAAGCCUGAUCCAGCAAUGCCGCGUGUGUGAAGAAGGCCUUCGGGUUGUAAAGCACUUUUGUCCGGAAAGAAAUCCUUGGCUCUAAUACGGUCGGGGGAUGACGGUACCGGAAGAAUAAGCACCGGCUAACUACGUG
RNAcentral lists this ribosomal RNA (486 nucleotides) under uncultured bacterium. RNAcentral's name for it is "partial 16S ribosomal RNA". It matches the Rfam family "Bacterial small subunit ribosomal RNA", at positions 30 to 507 of the family's 1533-position model. The record is from RNAcentral.